AAAAAGGGUGCUCGUCCUGGCACGUUUCCGAUCACGAAACUCAAGUGCGGACGCAUUGCGCCGCAGGAGCGUCUCCUUCGCUCCGCCCCUGGACUUCUCCGGGGAUAGGCGGGGGCGAGCGUUCCAUUGCCGCCUUCGACGCCUCCUUGCGCGCCCAGUGGGGUAUGGCUUUGCAUAUCCAGUGCGUAAUUUUUGUAUUUGGGGCCGCGGCUGCACAUUGUGGAUUGCUCGGGGAUUCCCGGAUCUCCCUGCGUGCCAGUGCGCUGCGCCCCGCC
This is a small nuclear RNA of Drosophila melanogaster (fruit fly), 275 nucleotides long. Lineage: Eukaryota; Metazoa; Arthropoda; Insecta; Diptera; Drosophilidae. The record is from Ensembl.